RNAcentral lists this ribosomal RNA (408 nucleotides) under uncultured microorganism. RNAcentral's name for it is "bacterial SSU rRNA". It matches the Rfam family "Archaeal small subunit ribosomal RNA", at positions 330 to 745 of the family's 1478-position model. The record is from RNAcentral.
GUGCAGCAGGCGAGAAACUUUACAAUGUGCGAAAGCACGAUAAGGGAACUCUGAGUGCCUCCUAAGGAGGCUGUUCAGGUGUCUAAAAGCACCUGAAGGAAGGGCUAGGUAAGACCGGUGCCAGCCGCCGCGGUAACACCGGCAGCCCAAGUGGUAGCCACGUUUAUUGGGUCUAAAGCGUCCGUAGCCGGCUGGGUAAGUUCCUUGGGAAAUUUGGCUGCUUAACAGUCAAGCUUUCAGGGAAUACUGCCCGGCUUGGGACCGGGAGAGGUCAGAGGUACUCCAGGGGUAGGGGUGAAAUCCAUUAAUCCUUGGGGGACCACCGGUAGCGAAGGCGUCUGACCAGACCGGGUCCGACGGUGAGGGACGAAGGCUAGGGGCGCGAACCGGAUUAGAUACCCGUGUAGU